Molecule: transfer RNA, 415 nt
Filed under: Attibartonella tamiae
Lineage: Bacteria; Pseudomonadati; Pseudomonadota; Alphaproteobacteria; Hyphomicrobiales; Bartonellaceae
Description: Bartonella tamiae partial 16S-23S ribosomal RNA intergenic spacer
Rfam family: tRNA (bases 68-141)
Source: RNAcentral
UUCUGGCGACUGACAGAUUGUAAGGUGCGUUGCCGGUAGGUUUGCCGGUAGACGAGACGUUUGCCGAGGGCUUGUAGCUCAGUUGGUUAGAGCGCGCGCUUGAUAAGCGUGAGGUCGGAGGUUCAAGUCCUCCCAGGCCCACCAAUGUUUGCGUUUAUGACAGAUAUUUAAAUUUAUAUAUUAAAUUUUAUGAAUGAAUAUAUUUGUUUAAAAAGUUUAAGGGGCCAUAGCUCAGCUGGGAGAGCACCUGCUUUGCAAGCAGGGGGUCGUCGGUUCGAUCCCGUCUGGCUCCACCAAAACUUUUGGUUGAGUAAGAUUAUUUAAUCGUGGAUUGAAUUGAAACAUCAUCUUAAGAAAACAAGUUUUGCUGACUUUUAUUAUAAAAUAAGAGUUGGCCUGUUCUAUUGAAAUUGUG